AUACGAAGGGUGCAAGCGUUGUUCGGAUUUACUGGGCGUAAAGCGCGCGCAGGCGGAUUGCUAAGUCAGAUGUGAAAUCUCGGGGCUCAACCCCGAAACUGCGUCUGAAACUGGUGAUCUAGAAUAUCGGAGAGGGAGAUGGAAUUUCGCAUGUAGGGGUAAAAUCCGUAGAGAUGCGAAGGAACACCAGAGGCGAAGGCGGUCUCCUGGACGAUUAUUGACGCUGAGGCGCGAAAGCGUGGGGAGCAAACAGGAUUAGAUACCCUAGUAGUCC
RNAcentral lists this ribosomal RNA (274 nucleotides) under uncultured bacterium. RNAcentral describes it as "partial 16S ribosomal RNA". It matches the Rfam family "Bacterial small subunit ribosomal RNA", at positions 523 to 796 of the family's 1533-position model. The record is from RNAcentral.